RNAcentral lists this long non-coding RNA (2437 nucleotides) under Mytilus galloprovincialis (Mediterranean mussel). Lineage: Eukaryota; Metazoa; Mollusca; Bivalvia; Mytilida; Mytilidae. The record is from RNAcentral.
GUGUGUAAUAUAAUUUGUAAUGAAAGUUUUAUGUGUAUUGAGAGUUUAUAUGUUUGUUAGUUGUGAAGAUAUGAUUUGUCAGCACAUGACUAGUAUUGUAUAUUGUUAUACUAUUCUUCAGGUGUCAAGUUUAACUGAAGAAUCAGUUUAAUGACUUUAAUACCUUGCAUAUGAUAGCAUCUGGUUAUUAAUGUUGAUUAAGUGUAGUUUUACUGGUGUUACAUUCAACUUGAAACUUAUAUGUUCAUAUAAUGUGAAAUUUGAUAAAAUAAAUAUCAAGUUUUAGGCUGGCUUGAACUUAGAAAAUUUUUGAAAUCCAGAAUAAUUUUUUGUGAAAGAUGUUUUGGAGGCCAUACCCCCAAGUCUUUUUAUACGUUGGUUUAAUGUCCUUCUGUCCAUCCGUCACCAACAUGUCAGACAAUUAUUCAAAAACACUUGGACGAGUUCGCAUGAAACUUUGGUGAAUUGUUUAUAUCUAUUGACAUGAGCUACAUAUCGUUUUUUUCUCGCUUGAAGGAGUCAAAAAGCAAGACAUAGGUAUGCUGUUUCCAGCAGCGGCAGCAUCAACAAUGUAUUAGUUUAUGAUUAGGUCUAGUUUGUGAAAACCACAAGUUGUAGGUCAAUGAUAUUUUGUAUACAGUUGUAUUUGUAUUGGCACAUCUCAUUUCCAUGGAGAUUAUUUGGCCCUGCCCCCCUCAGUCAUGAUCUAUUCACUUAAAUAAAUAAAUAAACUUAUGCUUAUUUUACAUGUAUUAGUUUGUGAUAAGGUCAGUUCAAGAGGAAGCAUUAGUGGUAGGACAAUGUUAAUUGGUAUUCAUUUGUAUAAGUAUUAGCAAAUCUCAUUUCCAUGGAGAAUAUUUGGCCCCACCCCCUCAGUCACAGUCUAUUGACUUUGAAACUUUUGCUUAGUUUACAUAUUAGUUUGUGAUUAGAUCAGUUAAGGAUUUAAUGCUUAUGUUAAGUCCAAAAUAUUAGGUAUAAAGUUAUUGGCAUUUGCAAGUAUCAUUUUUUUGGGGUUGUUAAAUAUUAGUGAAAGGUGGCAUUUAAGGAACCCUGGGUGUUAUAGCCCCAUCCCCUCAUCGUGGUUCAUUGACUUUGAAACUUUUUCAUAGUUUACAAGUUAAUGUUUGUGUUUGUGUUUAUUUUAAGGCAAUGACUUAUAAUAAGUCAAUGGUAUUUGGUAUGCAGUUGUAUUAUUUCCAUGUGAACAGGAAACAAAAACUAGACUUGUUGCUUUAAAAUAGAAUUACGCAGGGACAGAUCAAGGAUUUAAGGUUAGGGUGGUGCAAACUAAAGUUUGUUUAUGUAAAAUUAUCUUUAUAUUCUUUAUAAGCUGAGGACAACCCAUGCUUUUUAAAUUUUAGGGAGGGAACAUACAUGCCACCCACUUCCUGAAUCGUCUCUGUAGGCAACAGGGAAAUUGAAUUUUAUCCUUGUACAUCUUUCCAUACAUCCUUAGUUGGGUUCUGUUCUCUUACUUCUGAUUGUCAAGCCAAAUGUGAUGAAAGUUAUACACAAUGUUUAUUACCUACUUCAGAACACAGAUCAAAUGCAAAUUUGGGUGUCAUCACUCUCGUUGUUCUAGAGUUAUGUCCCUUUUCAAAUGAUAAAAUUGCUGAAUUUGCCUUUUUUUCAUCCUCAACAAAUUGCUAUGAAACUUUACUCACGAUGCUUAUUACAAAAUGUAUCACCAAACACAGAUAAACUUCAAAUUUUAGUGGUGUCACGUAAACUUUUGUAGAGUUGUGUCCCUUUAUAUAUGAAAAAAAAAUGCUAAAUUUGCCUUUUCCACACUAUAACUUUACUUUGCCUCAACCAAAUGUUAUCAAACUAUAUACACAAUGCUUUAUGAUUGCUAUCCAAAUACAAAUCAAGUUUGAACUUGGGUGCUGUCCCUUUCACAUCUGGAGUUGUUAGAUAUAAGAAGAUAUGGUAUGAGUGUCAAUGAUAUGUCUGAAAUCGCUGAAUUUGCUAUAUAUAUUUACAGGUGAGGAUAUUUGUGUCCCAUGACCCAUGGACACAUUCUCCUUUAAUUUUUUACUCAAUUUUCUGCAUUUAUGUUGAAAAAUUAAUAGAAUUGUAGAAACUGUUUACAGCAAAAAUGAUGGGUAUAUAUGUAAGUUCUAUACUAAAGAAUGUCAACAUGACAUAAACUAUUGACUGAAACUUAAAAGCAAGGUGAGGUGUUCAGGCUCCCAGGAACCUCUUGUUAUAGAUUCCUCCAAUUUUAUACCCUCUACUGAACAAAAAAAAUACAAUGUGAGAGAGUUAGAAGAGAAUACAAGUUUUAAUGUCAAAUAUGUAUUGGCUUGCAAGAAAUGUUUUAAGUAUUUUUGUAAAGUUAUGACAAAAGAUGUUAAUUUUAUGAAAACAUGUAUUCAUAUGUACAUAUAUAAUAUGCAAAUCAUUAUAUGUCAUUAAAUUUUCAUCAAUAAAG